Cucumis sativus (cucumber) is the source of this 2786-nucleotide long non-coding RNA. RefSeq lists it as uncharacterized. The transcript is spliced from 5 exons. The record is from RefSeq and is a predicted model, not a curated record. NCBI's taxonomy places the organism in Eukaryota, Viridiplantae, Streptophyta, Magnoliopsida, Cucurbitales, Cucurbitaceae.
UAACGACGACGAUUUUGCCAUAUUUCUUCCUUUCGAUUUUCCCGGGAAAAUUCGAGGAGUGAUUUUCAAAUUGGUUUUAUUUACCCUGAUGCCAAUCUCAUCUCCGUGUUGAAUUGGAGAUCUGCUUCGUGAAGUAGAUUAUUAACUAUGGAUUUCGAUUUCUCAUUGCGCUUUGAUUAUGCAGUUUCAAGGCAAUGGCAAUUGUCUUGGAUGGAACUGACUCGGGCGGUGAUUGGGAGUUAUUGCGAAAUUUCGAUUGCGUUGAGUGCGGUGCAUUGGUGUCAAACAGUAUUCGACUGGAUUCAUAAUCUACGAAAGAUUGGAGCACUGCUAGUUCUUUACUUCUAUUCCACUGUAGAGGCGAUGUAAACAAAAUCAGGAAAGGGGGCUUAACGAAGUAAAGGCUAGGGACGUGCUGACGUUGGUCGGAAAUUCUGGAUGGAGUCUGGGAAGAAAUGUGUCCUGUCGUUUCAUUUGAUGGGCAUUAUAUGGAUUCCGUGUGUUUCUUUUUCUAUUGGUGUAGAUAAAAAGUUGAGUCAAAGUAUGGCAGAUUGGGCAACAGUGAAGGAUGCAGUAUGACUUGGGUAUUUGAAAUGCAGGUGAGAAAGUUAAAGAUUUGAAAUCACCAACAUAUGAUGUGCUCUUAACGUUUUGGAGAUUACUCAGAUAACUACUAACCAAUAAUUAAGAGCAUUCAUAGUUUUUUUACAGAAGACAAGCACUGAUAAUUUGUUAAACUAUCAUUUUGAUAUUUGUGGGUGUGCUAGACCAGUUUGAGAUAACCACUAACAAAGAUCAUUGAUGGUUAAACUAUCAUUUUGAUAUUUGUGAGUGUUCUAGACCAACUGCGCACAUAUUCUCACGAUAUAUACUCAUCGAAGUUUUAUGCUCUCAGUUUACAUUUACUUAUUUGAGAAACAUGUGAAUCAAUAGUUUUUAUAUGAAAUACUCCGCUCUUUCAUGGAAUAGCUUCCUGUAAUAGAAAAGUUUGAUGGAAGAGUAGGAUAGAGCAAUUGCAUUGCUUGCUUUUAUAGAUGUUUCCAACUGCGCUUUUGUGAAGACGUCCUUGGACACAUGCUACAAAUUACAAUUCCUUGAACUCAGCUGGGUGAAGGCUGUUAUCAUUACUAACCAGAAACAUGCACAAGAAGAUUCAAUUUCAGCUGUUAGAAAAUAACCGAAGUGGGGCUGUCUGGAAAGUAAAUGAAAUAGAUACUAAACACUUGGAUUGCCGUAUGGGUAGAUGAAAGAACCUAAAUGAAGGAGUGGAUUGAUCAAGGAUGACAAAGGAGACCUUAGGAUCAGUUUCUCUCAAAACAAAACCAAGACCAAAAUCGAUUAAUAAUUGUAGAUCAUAUCAUAAGCAUAGAUAUACAGAAAUGGAACUAGAUGGCUUCUAAUCAAGAAAGAAGAAGAAAAUGAACAGGCAAAGUGUCAAUCUGCCUAUCAAGAAAAUUCACUCAGAUUUCACCAAAAGUACAAAAACCCACAUGGCAGAGUGAUUCAAAUUUGAACUAGCUUGAAAUUUAGCAUGUGUUUCACUUGCGACAGCUUCAAAUUUGCAUAAUCCAUCGUCAAAAUUUAGAGCGUAGCUGCAAGGAUCAUACUGAAACCUGAACUGCUGCUUGCUUCCGUUCUUGAUGGCUUUCUUCAUCGCAGCUCUCAUCCUCCAGAACAGUUUCUUGAAUUGCUUUCUACUGUAAGUAUUCAUCCAUUCUAUGCCUCCCACAAAUCCCAUUUAUACAACGUCAACCUCUAAACUCUAAAAUUUCUGCUGCUAAUCCCAAAAUGUCUUGAAAUGAAGAGCAGGUUGUGAUAGUUUCUGGGUAUUUGAGGAAGAUUAUAAAGGAUUCACAGACACAGAGACAAACAAUAGCAGUUGCAAUCUGAGGUUUGUGCAGAAGUGUCAGAACCAAAACAACAAAAGACGAUUCGCCUUUUUGUAUACAGAAGGAGGGCGAAAUGAGAGAGGGCAAAGCGUAAUCUUUUGGCCUUCCAAUGAAGCUGCGCAGUUUAUGUUGAGCCUCUACGAUGAUCGGCCUUUUCUCCUUGGAGUCAUGUUGGAAUGCUCAAAUUCCAUCAACUACAGCGAUAAAGACAGAGAAGGAGUAGGAGAAGGAAAAGGAGAGAGAGAGAGAAAGAGAGGGAGAGCUAAUAGCAAUUGCAGUGGGCAGAGAGCCUACAGAGACAUAUCAAUAUCGAAUAUUGUUGCGGCAAAAGUAACGAAGGAAGGUGACUAUGUUCAACGCAAAACAAAUGCGGAGGGUUGAGAUCUUAAGAAAGAUCAAAUGGACAGUAUCCCUCGCUUUACUGAUAUCUCAAUUUUCAGCCAGGAUAGGACAUGGAUGGUAUUCCUCUUAGACCUAAAAUUUGUCAAGUUUAAGCCAUUUCUACGUCAAUUUAUGAUGCAAAAGUAUAAAGAGGAAAUGAAUCGGGGUUGGAUUGAAGCAUGCUAAAUUGGUGUAUUGCUUUUUAAGAUUAGGUUAGGUGAUAGGAAAAUGACUUUUUAUGUUAUUGGGUAAAAACUUAGCUUUACUGUUGGAAGCCGAAAGUGUGUUGGCUAAAACAUAGAAAAAGUUCCACGUUUUAGAUUUCCAAUGUCACACACAUCAAUAGGAUCUCUGCUGGAUUUCUUCGAUAUCUUUUUUUUGUUAGCUUUUUUGCAGUAUCGAAUAUUUAUUUCUCAAGUAGGUUUGAUUUUCUUUACGGUGUAUGGUAAAUCAAAAUGGAAAUAAAUUACAAGCUGAAUGAUAAUAUCGGUAAAAUUCCAUGUGUCUGUUUUUUUU